This 253-nucleotide ribosomal RNA is filed under the name uncultured bacterium. RNAcentral describes it as "partial 16S ribosomal RNA". It matches the Rfam family "Bacterial small subunit ribosomal RNA", at positions 524 to 776 of the family's 1533-position model. The record is from RNAcentral.
UACGAGGGGGGCGAGCGUUGUUCGGAAUCACUGGGCGUAAAGCGUGCGUAGGCGGUCUUGAAAGUUAGGAGUGAAAGCCCCAGGCUCAACUUGGGAAUUGCUCUUAAUACUCCAGGACUCGAAUUCGGGAGAGGAUAGCGGAAUUGUCAGUGUAGCAGUGAAAUGCGUAGAUAUUGACAGGAACACCAGUGGCGUAAGCGGCUAUCUGGACCGACAUUGACGCUGAGGCACGAAAGCGUGGGGAUCAAACAGG